Molecule: long non-coding RNA, 465 nt
Filed under: Phasianus colchicus (ring-necked pheasant)
Lineage: Eukaryota; Metazoa; Chordata; Aves; Galliformes; Phasianidae
Description: lncRNA (ENSPCLG00000002856.1)
Source: RNAcentral
CAAGAAGAGACCACAGGCAUCCUUUGCAGUUUGAGACUUGGAGAGCUGCAUCCUUCUAUGGCUUCAUCUUGGUCCAAGAGUCUAAUAAUGAAUGGACAGAUUCUUGGCUCCUGGGAACAAUGCUGUGUGGCAUAUCAACCACCACAGUCUUCAGAAGGUCUUAGGAGAAGAUUUCUUGGGGAAAUCAGAAGGAUGUCUCAGUGAAUUGAAAACAACCUGAAAGCAGAUGACCAGAAAGCAGCUGGAUAACAUGAAAUAGAUCACAAUUACUCUUUGAAAACAUACUAACAGGACAAAACCUCAAGGUUAAAACCUUAACACAGUCUGCGUGUGAGCAGGAUUCCUCUCCUAAAGCUGUUCAGACCAAGAUAUUCUACUCCAAGAGGGUAGCAGAACCAACAGGUACAAUCAUUUUUUUGUGAUAAAACUUUGUCAACAUGGCAAAACUUUCAGUGUUAAUGAAAG